RNAcentral lists this long non-coding RNA (333 nucleotides) under Brachypodium distachyon (stiff brome). Its description in RNAcentral is "long non-coding RNA (BDIS_LNC003532)". Lineage: Eukaryota; Viridiplantae; Streptophyta; Magnoliopsida; Poales; Poaceae. The record is from RNAcentral.
AUUCACGCAAAACGGAAGGCCUGCCAAUCCCCCAUAUGGAAGGCCUGCCAAUGAUUCACCAUAUCGAAGACUUGCCAUUGAUCAACCAUAUGGAAGACCUGCCAGUGAUUCACUAUAUGGAAUGCCUGCCAAUGAUCCAAUAUAUGGGAGACCUGCCAAUGAUCCACCAUAUGGGAGACCUGCCAAUGAUCCACCAUAUGGGAGACCUGCCAAUGAUAUACCAUAUGGGAGACCUGCCAAUAAACCCCAUGAUCCUUCCUCUGCUUAUCCUAUAGAUUACUUUUCUAAAAGAAGAGAGUAUCCUAUUGGAAGUCCUUUUGCUAGCAAUGCUCC